CACCCGCCGGCGCAGUGGGAGCAUUCUGUGCGCAUGCGCGUGGCGUGCGGGGCGCGGGGCGCUGGGCGGGGGUUGACGGACGGCCCCUGGUACGCCGCUGAACACCUCGGGGCCGCGGAGAUGCUCUCCGGGGCGGCCGCCACGUCCAACCCGCGGCUCGUCAGUCGGCUCCUGGAUCUGAGUGAUUUCUUCAGCCUUCGGCAUAAAGUGGCUCAUCUUUCACCAGGAACGGAAAGAAACUAGGAAGGCGAUGGGUAGCGUCAGUAAUGUACUUGGUACAACUGGCCUUUUAGCACUUCCGUUCAGAGUCUAAACUUCUAUAAGGUGUGCUGCCAAGAAAUGGUGAAAUCCUGACACGCGCGGCUCCUCUCGGAAGGGCAGUGAACUCGGCACUGAGACCGUGGUCCUGAGCCCUGCGCUCGCGAAGGAGCUGCGGGAGGACACUGAUGUGACGCUGCCAUCUAGCGUCAGAGCUUGGGAGUUACAAAAGUGAGGCACGAUCUCCGCUGGAGGGAGAGCAGCCCUGCUGCACGCAGUCCCGAAUACCUGCAGAAGACGCAGCUCCUCGCUGAUGUGGGGACGUACAUGCUCACAGCUGGGACGCAGGCCGGCGAAGUGAAAUGCGGAAUUAGGGGUCUCCACUUGCAUCCAUGUCAGACUUCUCUUGGGGUCCUCUGAAUUCUCAGGUAAACACCAGAAUCUGGAGAUAUUUGGGGAGUAUUGCAGUCUUCACAAUUCACCAGGUGUGAUCAAAAUGUACAGUGAACUUUUAAAUUUCUAAAAACUCUUACAGGGCCGGGGAGAUAGCUCAGUGGCACAAGCGCCUGCCUGGCAAGCACAAGGUCCUGAGUUCGAUUCUCGGUACCAAAAAAAUAAAAAUAAAUAAAAAUUAAAACUCUUGCAGUAAAAGACAUCUGCAGUAAUCCCCCUCAGCUGCUGCUCAUUUUGAACACACUUAUUCCACCGUUCUUUUGACUUUCUGACUUUUUAAUGUGUGAUCAAAAAUGUGGUGAAUGUUGCUGCCAGGUGCCAUCCCAUAGAAAGGCAGGCUUCUGAAAACAUAACAGGGUGUCCUCAUCCACCUGGUUUACUGGAUCUGCCCCUGAUCAAUCUCUGGCUCUUCCUCCAAGUCAGAAUGAACAUGGAGGGAAAACGUUUUGAAUCCACUGAAAACCCGGAGGCAGCCACAACAGCAUAAUAAAGACACUCUUGAAAGAGGACUUGCAGAAUUACUUUAGAAAGCGGCAAGAACAUUGCAAUACAUGCGCUCAAAAUCAAGAGGGCAUCAUGGCAGUGUGUCUAUUGCUGUAAUAAAUUUUUUAACUUACACGUUCACC
RNAcentral lists this long non-coding RNA (1337 nucleotides) under Chinchilla lanigera (long-tailed chinchilla). RNAcentral describes it as "lncRNA (ENSCLAG00000022315.1)". The stretch from base 804 to 863 matches the Rfam family "tRNA", at positions 7 to 64 of the family's 71-position model. The record is from RNAcentral. Lineage: Eukaryota; Metazoa; Chordata; Mammalia; Rodentia; Chinchillidae.